CCAGGGUUGUGACCAUAAUGUGGUGGCUUCUCUCCCUUAGGUGGUUUGCCAACUGGGGUUGGUGGCUUGUUUUCUGGGAGUGGCUUCUCUCCCUUGGGUGGUUUGCCAACUGGGGUUGGUGGCUUGUGUUCUGGGAGUGGCUUCUCCCCCUUGGGAGGUUUUUCGAAUGGGGUGGGUUUGUGUCCUGGUGGUGGCUUCUCUCCCUUGGGAGGUUUACCAAUUGGGGUCGGUGGCUUGUGUUCUGGGAGGGGCUUCUCUCCCUGGGGAGGUUUAGUGGGUGGCUUGUGUUCUGGAGGUGGCUUCUCCACCGGAGGCUUAUGCUCUGGUGGUGGCUUCUCGAAGGGGGGAUGCUCAGGGUAAUCACCAAGUGAGGGGGUGGUGAGAACCACCAUGCCAAGCAACAACACUAGCAAGUAUGUAGUAGACAUCUUUGGGUUUGGACUCAGACAGUGCAAAACUACGAGAAAUCGCUAGCCCUUUAUAGCGGCUCGGACCUAAUACUGACAUAAUAUAAAAUAAAUAUUAUAUUUUAUCAAGAGAGAACAGAGUGUAAUUUUAUCAUUAAUACCGAUCGAGGCCAAAGAAAGAAGACCCAUAAUCCAUUUCCCACAAGCAUACACAAUGCAGCUGUAAUUUUAUCAUUUACUUUUAUCCCUUGGACCACUGCAUUUUUGUUGAGAGACACAAUAACACAUUUUUAUCUGUCAUUCAACAUUUACAGUAAAGAGAGGGCACAAAACGCAAUUAGAUAAAUUAUGUUUUGCCUGCUAAAAAGAGGCAAAUAACUUUAUUUGCAACAUAAUUAUUUUGGUUUCUAGUGACCCCGGGGCCUUUCGGUUGGUUUGGGAUCGGAAAAUGAACAUCAUAGGGGGGGUUGUGCCCUUAUGGGCAUAUAUAUCUGAUAGCUUCAACUGGCCUUGUUCCUAGAAAGAAAUUGCCAAAGAUAUAAACUUAUUCCAGGCUGAAAGUAGAUGAGAGUCAUAAUGAACAUCAACCUUUGUUCAGUUUGAUUCAAUGCCCCCAUAGUGUUCAUUUCACAGAUCUGAAUGAUUAUAUCCGUUGAAUACAUAAAUUAAUGAAGACAAAUAUGAAACCCAAGAUACAUCUCUGCAUAACAACCCCAACCCUGGUUGCUAUGUUUCCCUUCUUCUAUUCACAUGAGGAUACUGGUUAUAAUUGUCAAACUUGCAACAAGCCCUUUGACACCUAACGUCAAUGGACGAAUUAAAAGUCUCCUUCAAACGUCUAUUUCACAGCAUGAAGCUUAUAAAGGAUGCUGACAACCUUCAGAGUUAGCGACAAAAGAUAAUUAUCAAGGAGAGAUAGUUCCAUGAGAAUUCCAAGGAGUCUGAAUCAAAGACAAAUUGCUCACUCAAGGGUUCUUAUUUUCUUUUAGGUACAAAUCUCUUGAGUGUUGUUAAAGAAACACGUCACUGUCAUUUUGAUUUGCAUUUAACAUUUCACUUUUGUUCUGGAAGGUUUGUUCCGGAAACAUAUCAAAUGAGCAUCAUUUUCUUCUUCGGUGACACAUGGUCGCGAGUACGUGGGUCCAUUUUCAUGCCACUUAGUUGAAAAGUUGGAAAGAAAAAACAUGCCAACAAGAAGAUAGUGAGAGAAGGGGCACUUCAAGCCUUUAACAUGAACAAACAGUAAAUAAAAGAUGUUUCUCCACUCAUAAAAGUGUGUUAGAUAGCAAUAUAACGAAUCACAUCCAAAAUCUUUACUAGGCUCAAACAUAAAGAAGACUCAUUUUUAAGAAAAGAUAAAAAUGGCAUUGUCUGAUAGUAUCCAAUACACGAGAUGGCACUUAAUUUGUACAAGAUCUGUCAAUGCUGACGCACAUUUUCUGAUUAAAAAAAAACUGAUCAGUCAAAAGCAAUGAAGAGAAGUGAUGACAAUGAAUGAUGCUUCCAAUAUUUUCACCCCUUAUAGUGUUCUUCAUGAUUCAGAUAUAUAAUUGGAAAUAGAACAACCCUAUGCCAUACAUUCGUCUAAGUAUGGUGUCUAAUUUUUUGUGUCAGCGGUUGCGAAUGGAGCGUGCAAAAGUCCAAAUUGGCGUCUCUCCAUUUCCACAUAGGAAGGUGACCUUUAUUGACAAAUACCCAAUAUUUGUAGACAUUCCUUAAAUAUCAUAACUUCUUGUUGAUUUGAAAAUCAUUUUUCAACUACCAUGUUUUAAUAAAUAUUUUUUAAAAUGUAUUUUUAUCAAAGUCCACCAUGAUGGAUAAUAUUCACCAUGCAAUAAUUAAUAAAGUACAAACUAAGCGAAAUGAAAAGCAUUUUCUUUGCUUUGAGUUGAUUUUGGUUGCAUUGAGUUGAUUUUGGUUUCAUGGUUUUUUCAACUCUUAUUUUGAUUGGAAGAUGUCAAGAAAAGAAAACAUAAAGAAAAAUUAAAAGGGAAAAAAGAAGAAAAAUAAAAAAAAAUAGAUUUAAAAGUUAAUAAAUUAUUUUUUAUAUUUAUUUUAAUUCAUUUCACUUAUUUUUCUUUUACUAUAUAAAAUUUAAAUAAUUUAAAUUUUAUAAUUAAUUUAAUUACAUUUCAUUUUCUUCUAUAUUUAAAUAUUGGAAAAAUAUUUUACUUAAUAUUUUUUUCUUUAAUUUCUUUGGCAUUUUGGGAACCAAACUUAGCCUUUAAAAUAAAAAACAAAAAAAAAAUGAAAAUAAGGAGGGAAAAGUGAGAAAAGAUAAAAACAAUAUGUAAAGGAUUUGAAAAGUAUUAGUUUGUAAUUACUAUUUGGAUUUCAAUAGUAUUUUAUUUGUCUUUCUAUAUUUCAUGUAAGAGAGAAUUUAAGAUAUUCCCCAAGGCAAAGCAUUAGUUACCUGCAAUCAGUGGUGAUAAGGCUCCAAGCCAAUUUUGGGCCCCAUAUCUUAAGACAGUACAAUUUCCAUUUCAACAUUUCUGAUUUCUCAGAUGUUUCACAUACCACAGAAGAACAUUGUUUGUGAAAAUAUGCAUUUAUGUUGGAUUUUGUAUGCUGUGGGGACUGGGGCAAGGAUCAUAUGGAAGAGUGGUUGACUUUUUCUGUACUUUAACGGUUGAAAUAGGAUAAGCACGGGCAUUUGUGAGGCUUAAUUGAUUUUGAAGCCUGAAAUUGCGUUUCUGUCAUUUUGUCAAAAAAAUGGCAGAUUCCAUACUCAUAUGUUUGGCCUGUGGCCAUGUACAGAUGCCAUUUAGUGACCAGUUUGUAACUGUCAAUCGUUGCGUUUUGACUCUGCCUCAACAACAUCUGCCAUUGACGGGUUUUCAUACUUGCAAAUCAAAUAGUCUUUCGUCCCAUCAGGAAUUUCGGUUUAAAUAUUAUUAAGCAUACGUUUGGCUGACAAUCAUUAUCCAGUUCAUGAUUUGGUUUCUUACCCUUAAUCAAUGGUUUCUAAGUGAAUAUAUGUAGAAGGAAAUCCGAAGUGUAGACAGUAGUAUCGAUAACUCUCAAUAUUCUCUAUAUAAUAGAAUAAACAGCGUCAUAGUGAUCGUCGCCUACAAGCAAGGUACAAAUACCAAAACGAGUGACUCACAUAGACAUCUCCCAACAAGAUGUAGUAGUGACUGACACAUGGACACAAUUAACUCGUAGAAAAGGAUAAGACCAUUGCACAGCAGCUCUUAUUUUACAUACUACUUAUGCUAACCAAAGUCAAUUAGUUGGGAUGGGUGGGAGAUGGAGGUUUGUGCGGUGGCUUGUGGGGCGGAGUUGAUGGCUUCUUUCCAGGAGCUUCUGGCUUUUUCAUCGGAGCUGAAGGAGGCUCAAUCUUAUGAGGCGGCUUGUAUGAGUCUUCUUUACUCUCGACAGGAGGGUGGCCAGGGUUGUGAUCAUAAUGUGGUGGCUUCUCUCCCUUAGGUGGCUUGCCAACUGGGGUUGGUGGCUUGUGUUCAGGAAGUGGUUUCUCUCCCAUGGGAGGUUUAGCAAUUGGGGUUGGUGGCUUGUGUUCUGGGAGUGGCUUCUCUCCCUUGGGAGGUUUAGUAGGUGACUUGUGUUCUGGAGGUGGCUUCUCCACCGGAGGCUUGUGCUCCGGUGGUGGCUUCUUGGUUGGAGGGGGCUUGGGGUAAUCAGCAAGAGAUGGGGUGGUGAGAACCACCAGUCCAAGGAACAACACUAGCAAGUAUGUGGGAGACAUUUUUGAGUUUGGGCUGAUCAGAUGAUGCAAAACUAAAGCAUUACGUGACCUUUUAUAGCAUGUAGCUCCCAAUACCCACUAAGUAUUGUGGGGUCCAUUUGUGCCCUACGGGGUUGAAAACUUAGACAAUUGGGCAAGGACCCACCUGACUAUGGAGGACUAGUGAGGUGUGAUCAUAGCUUUAGGAUUUUUCUUCCUCUGCAGCCGUCGUGCCGUUGGCAUGAUUUUCUUAAUCUUAAAUAAAGGCAUAGUUAUAGAGUUGUUUAAUCUCUAAAUGGGAUUUUAUAUAUAUCUUCAGAUAGCCAUUAAUAUAUUUGAUGAAGAAAGAAAGACAAGUGCAUACAACAUGUAUACGACUAGCUUUCAUGGAGUUCAUUUAUGAUCAGUUUUCCUGUACAUGUAAACCAGGAUCAUAUAUAUGUUUCUGUUCCACAACUAUUUUGGAAUCUUGUUUAUCAGUUUUUAUCAUUAUAAUGUCACAUAGGCUGCCAACUUGGGCGCUAAAAGAACCAGUUGGGCUAGUUCGUUUCAGAAUUUCAAUGUGGAUUCAGGAAUUGUUUUGUAAGAUAUGCGAAAUAGUAGAGGGAUGAAUAGUGUUUCAUUAAUAAAAGUGUCCUGUAAAUUAGAAGGUGUCAUAGAAACUAUAAUCAAUAAAUAACUUUUUUUCCCCACGGGUGGUGUUUCUUGUGGGGAUCAGUGACUGGUUUAGGUUCACCCAAAAUGAGUUCAGACUAAAAUUGGUUUGAGUCAAUGCCGUGUCUCUUUUUUCCAGAAAUCAACUAUUUUAUGCAUUGAAUAAAUCAUACAAAGAAAAUAUGAACGCCCGCAAAACCUAAACCCUGGUUGCUAACUUUCUAUGUUUCAGUUCUAUUCACGCAAGAAUAUUAGUUUAAGUUUGGGAAAAAUGGCAACUUACCUAGUGAUUACUUGGUUUUGGUUUGCGACUAUUUACGCAACCAACCAUGAGUUUGACUUUAACGUCAUGGGUUGAAGCCUCCUACAGGAAGGGAGAAAGCUCCACAGCUAGCUCCAAAAGAGAAUUAUCACAUUGAUAGCUCCAGAGAUUCCCAAGGGGACUGAAUCAAAGACAAGUUCCUCACUUUUUCUUCUUUUGAGGCCAAAUAUGAACCAAGGAUCACACAACCUCAUUCAACUUCAUAAGUUUGAUUUCAUGCAGUUGAACACUGGGUGAAGGCCAUGACAAGAAUUGAUUCAAAAAUUCUAUCACUCUUUUAAGUAAUGGAAGAUUAUUAUCUCUGAUUGGCAUCACAACAGCACAUGCUCCUAGAUCUUUCUAGACACUCCAUGCAAUGAAAGCACAAUGGAUCUUGUAACGAUAGAAACUAAGCCAUGCUACAGUACUAGAUGAUGAGGUAAAACUAGUAGACACGGGUGGCAGCCUAUAUGGGAGGGACACAAGUCUAAUUGAUUUGCAUUUCAGCAUUAUAGAUAGGUAUGUUUUGGAAGAUUUGUUCUGGAAAUACCGCACCAAGUAGGAUUCUUUUUCUCUUUAGUGGGUCCACUUGCAUGCCAAUUAACGAGUUGAAAAGUAUGAGCACCUACCUCGUGCUCGUGGAACCGAAGGUCAGUGAAGUGGGGCUCCUUUUGGCCUCGUGUAAACUUGAUUCAGAAGUGAAGUUAAUAGUCUUCCAUUCAGAUGGAUACAUGGGAAUUUUUCUCUUUUAUUUAUUUAUUUAUUUUUUUUUUGUGUGUGUAUGUCAAAGGAUAAUGAAUGAAGCGCGUUAGCUUGUUUUCUGACUGGAACCGCAGAUGUCCAAAUUGGAGUUCCUUCAUUUCUUACUUAGGAUUGUUACAUGUAUAAACAAGGUAUAAGAAAUAUGCCAACGUGUCUUGAGGAGUUAUUGAUUAGAAAUAACAAGUCACCCGACUGUAGAGUUCCAAGAUUUGAAUCUUCAGACCCUAUAGCAGCCUCUGGGGUACGUGGCAUCCUAUAGCAUAUUAAUGAAGGCUUUUUCGAUUUAGACUUCACAAUACCAAUUAAUAUGUAUGCACAAAAUGGAGAUGACCCCAAAAAAAACAGAAUCGCCAUAGUUUAUGAGGUUAAGGUGAUUCUCCACUUAAUAUCUACAUUAGCUAAUUAUGUAAAUCAAAUGAACUUCUAUUUUUCCUUUUUUUUUUUGGUUUAUGUCAAAUAGUAGCCCAUAAUUAACCCAACCAUUAGCCUGUUUGAAUUGAUUUCACAUGCACAAUGUUGUAGUAGUUCAUAUUUUGAAUUUUAUUUUUACAAAGGUAGUUAAGGAAAAUGAAGUAUAAUAAUUAUAAAAGCAGACUAUAUACACUACAAUAAUUGUUAGAAUGGUAUCUCAAAUUCUAAUUUAAAAUAUUAUUUUUUGUAAAAGAAAUAUUAUAUAGAAUAUUUCCUAAUUUUAUAAAUGAUUAUAAUUAGAUCUUUAUAAAAUAAGGAAAGUUGGUAAGAAUAUCUUUAUAAAUAUUUUAGGUCAUGAGAGAAAGAAAUGGGAUAAAAAUGUGAUGAAGAGGUGAAAUAAGAGAGUUGAUUAGGAUAUAGAUGUGAAGAAGAAAGGGAUUCAAUAUAUAUAUAUCUUUCAAUUACCACAUUAAAACCCUGUGAACCUUUUAUAUGGUUUACUUUAUUUUUAUAUUCCUCCUUUAAUAUAUUUACAUUAAUGCUUCCAUUGGCACAACAAUAACGAAUUACAAAUACAAGCAACAAGUCCCAUGUUUUAUUACCAAAAGCAGGUAAAAUCCACCUAAUAUAUUACAAUAUAUUCAUCCAAUAUUUUAGACCAAUUCUUCACCAUAAAUAUCAUAAUGUGGCUUUUGUUCUUUCUUAAAUUUAAAUUGAAUUGUCUUAUAUCAAUUUGUUUGUGAUUUUUUCAUUAACUUCACUUUCAUUUGGUUAUCUUUGGUUUUUGAAAAGUAUUAAGGAAUUAAUUAACAAAAUAAUGUUAAGAAAAAUAAUUUUCUCUCUUUUGAUUUUGAUUUUGUAGUAGAAAAAUAUAAUUAAAAUUAUUUAAAAAGUAUGUAAUUUUAAAUUAUUUAAUAUUUAGAUAAAAAAAAUAAGUCUAAUGAGUUUAAAAUAACAUAUAAAAAUAAUUUAUUUAUUUUAAAUUUAUUUUUUAUUUUCCAUUAUGUUCUCUUUCUCUUUUACUUUUUCAUAUUUUUUCUUACGAAGAAUCAAACACAACCUCAUAUUAUAUGUCAAGUGUUUGUCUAUAUUUGAGCAAUGUUAGAUACGGCCAUGGAUUCAUCAAACUAAACUGAUUUUAAUAGAUACUUCACAAAUUGAUUUAUACACUAAAUCAUUGGAUAGCAAUGAUGCAUUGGAAUUAAACGUAGGAUGAAGCUCGAAGAACACUGUUUGUGUAACAACAUAUUUAUGAAAUUAUGCAAAGGAUGAGCUUCGGGGUAGUAGUACAAGGUCAUUAAUGGAGAGCCGUGUUAAACCUUGAUUGUGAUUGGAUUCCGUUAUCAGCAACAGCAACCUUGUUUGUAACCUUGAAAGUCAUUCUGUCCACAUCGAAACUCCAAUUUGACGUUUGUAAUUACCAUUCCUGGAGUGUUCCUUGAUUGAAAUUUAAAUAAUAAUUGCGGCCCACAAGGAAUAUUUUCGAUUCUGUGGGAAUUUGACAAGGUUUGUUAGAGAAGACUGGUGACAUGUUGACUUCAAUGGUUCAAAUAGGAGACGUAUGUGGAUUUGGGGGGUUUAAUUGAAACUGAGUCCCUAUGGCUUUUUAAUAUUUGCAUUGAGCAGUCUCCAUGUGACUUCCUAAUUCCCACCAACCCUCCUGUCCAUGCUGUGAAACUAAAUUGUAAUUUAUCAGCCUUUGUCAAUGGUUUCUAAAUUAAAGAUAUAGACCAUGCAUGUACUUUAAUAAAAGCAAAUCUAAAGUGUAGAUAGCAGCAAUGGUGACACCCAAUAUUCUCCAUAAAAUAGAAUUAGAAUAAGCAGUGUUACAUUGUUCAUGAUCACCUACAAGCAUACAAGAACUUCCAUGAAUAACUCAUAGCAAUUGCCAACAGGGCGUCGUAGAGACUCAUACAUAGAACACUAUCCACCCAGAGGAAAGGACAAGACCAGUGCGCUGCAGCUCUUAUUUUUCACAUGUAUACCACCACUCGUAAUAACCAAAUUCACUCAGUUGGGAUAGGUGGGAGAUGGUGGUUUGUGGGGUGGCUUGUGGGGAGGAGUUGGAGGAGGCUUUAUUUUCUGAGGCGGCUUGUAUGAGUGUGCAGGAGGAUGCCCGGGAGUGUGACCAUAAUGUGGUGGCUUCUCUCCCGUAGGUGGUUUGCCAAAUGGGCUUGGUGGCUUCUCUCCCUUAGGAGGUUUACCAAUUGGGGUUGGUGGCUUGUGUUCUGGGAGUGGUUUCUCUCCCUUGGUAGGUUUGCCAAUUGGGGUUGGCGGCUUAUGUUCUGGGAGUGGCUUCUCUCCCUUGGGAGGUUUGCUAAUUGGGGUUGGCGGCUUAUGUUCUGGGGGCGGCUUCUCUCCCUUGGGAGGUUUGCCAAUUGGAGUUGGCGGCUUAUGUUCUGGGAGUGGCUUUUCUCCCUUGGGAGGCUUGCCAAUUGGGGUUGGCGGCUUAUGUUCUGGGGGUGGCUUCUCUCCUUUAGGAGGUUUGCCAAUUGGAGUCGGCGGCUUAUGUUCUGGAAGUGGCUUUUUUCCCUUGGGAGGUUUGCCAAUUGGGGUUGGCGGCUUAUGUUCUGGGGGUGGCUUCUCUCCCUUGGGAGGUUUGCCAAUUGGAGUCGGCGGCUUAUGUUCUGGGAGUGGCUUCUCUCCCUUGGGAGGUUUUGUUGGUGGCUUGUGUUCUGGAGAUGGCUUCUCCCCUGGAGGCUUGUGCUCCGGAG
RNAcentral lists this long non-coding RNA (8934 nucleotides) under Vitis vinifera (wine grape). RNAcentral describes it as "long non-coding RNA (VVIN_LNC001392)". The record is from RNAcentral. Lineage: Eukaryota; Viridiplantae; Streptophyta; Magnoliopsida; Vitales; Vitaceae.